Molecule: ribosomal RNA, 301 nt
Filed under: uncultured bacterium
Lineage: Bacteria
Description: partial 16S ribosomal RNA
Rfam family: Bacterial small subunit ribosomal RNA
Source: RNAcentral
CAGUCGCCGCGGUAAGACAGAGGAUGCAAGCGUUAUCCGGAAUGAUUGGGCGUAAAGCGGGCGCAGACGGUUACUUAAGCAGGAUGUGAAAUCCCCGGGCUCAACCUGGGAAUUGCGUUCUGAACUGGGUGGCUAGAGUGUGUCAGAGGGGGGUAGAAUUCCACGUGUAGCAGUGAAAUGCGUAGAGAUGUGGAGGAAUACCGAUGGCGAAGGCAGCCCCCUGGGAUAGCACUGACGUUCAUGCCCGAAAGCGUGGGUAGCAAACAGGAUUAGAUACCCCUGUAGUCCCUGUCUCUUAUAC